GCAAGGGGGGUGCUAUACAUGCAGUCGAGCGCGGGAAGCAGGCAGAACKCCUUCGGGAGUGAWGCCUGUGGAACGAGSGKSGGACGGGWGAGUAACACGUGGGCAACCUSCCUGUAAGGACUGGGAUAMCCCCGGGGAAACCGGGGCUAAUACCGRAUAACACUUUUUUGGUACAUGCCAAGAGAGUUGAAAGGCGGCCUUUUUUGGCUGUCACUUACAGAUGGGGCCCCGCGGCGCAUUAGCUAGUUGGUAGGGUAACGGCCUACCAAGGCAACGAUGCGUAGCCGACCUGAGAGGGUGAUCGGCCACACUGGGACUGAGACACGGCCCAGACUCCUACGGGAGGCAGCAGUAGGGAAUCUUCCGCAAUGGACGAAAGUCUGACGGAGCAACGCCGCGUGAGUGAUGAAGGUUUUCGGAUCGUAAAACUCUGUUGUUAGGGAAGAACAAGUGCCGUUCAAAUAGGGCGGCACCUUGACGGUACCUAACCAGAAAGCCCCGGCUAACUACGUGCCAGCAGCCGCGGUAAUACGUAGGGGGCAAGCGUUGUCCGGAAUUAUUGGGCGUAAAGCGCGCGCAGGCGGUCCUUUAAGUCUGAUGUGAAAGCCCACGGCUCAACCGUGGAUGGCCAUUGGAAACUGGAGGACUUGAGUACAGAAGAGGAGAGUGGAAUUCCACGUGUAGCGGUGAAAUGCGUAGAGAUGUGGAGGAACACCAGUGGCGAAGGCGACUCUCUGGUCUGUAACUGACGCUGAGGUGCGAAAGCGUGGGGAGCGAACAGGAUUAGAUACCCUGGUAGUCCACGCCGUAAACGUUGAGUGCUAGGUGUUAGGGGGUUUCCGCCCCUUAGUGCUGAAGUUAACGCAUAAGCACUCCGCCUGGAGCCCCCAAG
Molecule: ribosomal RNA, 892 nt
Filed under: Virgibacillus sp.
Lineage: Bacteria; Bacillati; Bacillota; Bacilli; Caryophanales; Bacillaceae
Description: bacterial SSU rRNA
Rfam family: Bacterial small subunit ribosomal RNA
Source: RNAcentral